AGCGACUGUGCAGGUUACCGCGGCUGCUGGCACGGAGUUAGCCGGUGCUUCUUCUGUGAGUGAUGUCCUUCCUGCCGGUUAUUGACCCGCAGGCCUUCUUCCUCACUGAAAGUGCUUUACAACCCGAAGGCCUUCUUCACACACGCGGCAUGGCUGGAUCAGGGUUGCCCCAUUGUCCAAUAUUCCCACUGCUGCCUCCCGUAGGAGUCUGGGCCGUGUCUCAGUCCCAGUGUGGCUGAUCAUCCUCUCAGACCAGCUACGGAUCGUCGCCUUGGUGAGCCGUUACCUCACCAACCAGCUAAUCCGACAUAGGCUCAUCCGAUAGCGCGAGGCCCGAAGGUCCCCCGCUUUCCCCCGUAGGGCGUAUGCGGUAUUAGCCUGGGUUUCCCCAGGUUAUCCCCCACUACCGGGCAGAUUCCUAUGCAUUACUCACCCGUCCGCCGCUCGCCACCAGGGAGCAAGCUCCCCGUGCUGCCGCUCGACUUGCAUGUGUUAGGCCUGCCGCCAGCGUUCAAU
Molecule: ribosomal RNA, 516 nt
Filed under: uncultured bacterium
Lineage: Bacteria
Description: partial 16S ribosomal RNA
Source: RNAcentral